RNAcentral lists this ribosomal RNA (478 nucleotides) under uncultured bacterium. RNAcentral describes it as "partial 16S ribosomal RNA". It matches the Rfam family "Bacterial small subunit ribosomal RNA", at positions 28 to 507 of the family's 1533-position model. The record is from RNAcentral.
GAUGAACGCUGGCGGCGUGCUUAACACAUGCAAGUCGAACGGGAAUUAUUUUAUUGAAUCUUCGGUCGAUUUAAUUUAAUUCUAGUGGCGGACGGGUGAGUAACGCGUGGGUAACCUGCCUUAUACAGGGGGAUAACAGUCAGAAAUGGCUGCUAAUACCGCAUAAGCGCACAGAGCUGCAUGGCUCAGUGUGAAAAACUCCGGUGGUAUAAGAUGGACCCGCGUUGGAUUAGCUUGUUGGCAGGGUAACGGCCUACCAAGGCGACGAUCCAUAGCCGGCCUGAGAGGGUGAACGGCCACAUUGGGACUGAGACACGGCCCAGACUCCUACGGGAGGCAGCAGUGGGGAAUAUUGCACAAUGGGGGAAACCCUGAUGCAGCGACGCCGCGUGAAGGAAGAAGUAUCUCGGUAUGUAAACUUCUAUCAGCAGGGAAGAUAGUGACGGUACCUGACUAAGAAGCCCCGGCUAACUACGUG